AACGAACGCUGGCGGCAGGCCUAACACAUGCAAGUCGAGCGCCCCGCAAGGGGAGCGGCGGACGGGUGAGUACCGCGUGGGAAUAUGCCCUUUGCUACGGAAUAGUCUCGGGAAACUGGGGGUAAUACCGUAUACGCCCUUUGGGGGAAAGAUUUAUCGGCGAAGGAUUAGCCCGCGUUGGAUUAGGUAGUUGGUGGGGUAAUGGCCUACCAAGCCGACGAUCCAUAGCUGGUUUGAGAGGAUGAUCAGCCACACUGGGACUGAGACACGGCCCAGACUCCUACGGGAGGCAGCAGUGGGGAAUCUUAGACAAUGGGGGCAACCCUGAUCUAGCCAUGCCGCGUGAGUGAUGAAGGCCUUAGGGUUGUAAAGCUCUUUCAGCUGGGAAGAUAAUGACGGUACCAGCAGAAGAAGCCCCGGCGAACUCCGU
This 430-nucleotide ribosomal RNA is filed under the name uncultured bacterium. RNAcentral's name for it is "partial 16S ribosomal RNA". It matches the Rfam family "Bacterial small subunit ribosomal RNA", at positions 29 to 506 of the family's 1533-position model. The record is from RNAcentral.